RNAcentral lists this microRNA (22 nucleotides) under Callithrix jacchus (white-tufted-ear marmoset). RNAcentral's name for it is "cja-miR-548m". Its record names the gene cja-miR-548m. The record is from miRBase by way of RNAcentral. Lineage: Eukaryota; Metazoa; Chordata; Mammalia; Primates; Cebidae.
CACACACUGCAGUUACUUUUGC